AACCUGCUACAAAAUAAUGGCAUUUAUGAAAGACUAUUGGUGUCACAAUGAUGUGCUGCAUGGUUCCUUGCGUGGUUCUAUUUCUUUCAUGGCAGCACAAAGGUGGGAUGUAAUUGAUUCCAGUAACCAAACAGUCUGUGUAUCUGGAUCUGUUGUCAGCUCUCAGUGAUUUAAUGUGCAUUGGUAGACUGAAAUGGUUCUGCCUCACAUAUUGCUUCUCAAUCGUCUUUCUCCCAAGUACUUUGACUUGUCUUUGCGGAUUUCAAGUGCGUGAAAGUUUCAUGUUGGUCAGCAUCUGUUGAUCUCAUAUUUGUGCUCUGUACCAACAAAUAAAACAUGGCCAAUCAAACAAGAAUCACAGAAGAAGAUCUCGGUGAACAUUCAGUGCUGGUAAUUCAGUAUUCUGUUGUGUAUGCAACAAUUGAAACGUAUUACAUAAAAAAAAAAAUACCAACAGAUUGGUCUUUAGGCCAAGUGGUCUAGCUUCCUCCUUAAAGGAGUGUAAGCUUUGUACUACUAUUACUGUUGAUGAGCCUGCUCCUGGAUUGAAGACGAUCUUUAGCUUCAAGAUUCCUGAUCAAAGGUCUGGCAAGUUGGAAGUUCAAUACUUGCAUGACUAUGAGGGGAUAAGCACAACCAUUGGGUUGACAGCAAUCCCUAAAGCAAGA
Non-coding RNA from Camellia sinensis, 668 nucleotides. The record is from RefSeq and is a predicted model, not a curated record. Lineage: Eukaryota; Viridiplantae; Streptophyta; Magnoliopsida; Ericales; Theaceae.